Molecule: ribosomal RNA, 485 nt
Filed under: uncultured bacterium
Lineage: Bacteria
Description: bacterial SSU rRNA
Rfam family: Bacterial small subunit ribosomal RNA
Source: RNAcentral
GAUGAACGCUAGCGGGAGGCUUAACACAUGCAAGUCGAGGGGCAUCGCGGUGCAGCAAUGCACUGGCGGCGACCGGCGUACGGGUGCGUAACGCGUAUGCAACCUGCCCCGCACCGGGGGAUAGCCCGCCGAAAGGCGGAUUAAUACCCCAUGGUCCCGGGGGCCCGCAUGGGCAUCCGGGUAAAGCCUUGGCGGUGCGGGAUGGGCAUGCGUGCCAUUAGCUGGCUGGUGGGUAACGGCCCACCAGGGCAACGAUGGCUAGGGGGUCUGAGAGGAUGGUCCCCCACACUGGUACUGAGACACGGACCAGACUCCUACGGGAGGCAGCAGUGAGGAAUAUUGGUCAAUGGGCGGAAGCCUGAACCAGCCAUGCCGCGUGCGGGAUGAAGGCCCUACGGGUUGUAAACCGCUUUUCCCCGGGAAGAACUAACGCCCCCGCGGGGGUGAGUGCCGGUACCGGGGAAUAAGGAUCGGCUAACUCCGUG